AUCAAUGUUAAAGCUCGAGAUGGGCGAA
This 28-nucleotide small RNA is filed under the name Bombyx mori (domestic silkworm). RNAcentral's name for it is "ovarian small RNA-12411". Lineage: Eukaryota; Metazoa; Arthropoda; Insecta; Lepidoptera; Bombycidae. The record is from RNAcentral.